GGGGUUGUAGCUCAGUGGUAAAGUGCUCGCCUGGCAUGUGAGAGGUGCUGGGUUUGAUCCUCAGCACCA
RNAcentral lists this transfer RNA (69 nucleotides) under Ictidomys tridecemlineatus (thirteen-lined ground squirrel). Its description in RNAcentral is "Spermophilus tridecemlineatus (thirteen-lined ground squirrel) tRNA". It matches the Rfam family "tRNA". From Rfam's summary of the family: Transfer RNA (tRNA) molecules are approximately 80 nucleotides in length. Lineage: Eukaryota; Metazoa; Chordata; Mammalia; Rodentia; Sciuridae. The record is from Rfam by way of RNAcentral.